GACGAACGCUGGCGGCGUGCUUAACACAUGCAAGUCGAACGGAAAGGCCCUGCUUUUGUGGGUGCUCGAGUGGCGAACGGGUGAGUAACACGUGAGUAACCUGCCCUUGACUUUGGGAUAACUUCAGGAAACUGGGGCUAAUACCGGAUAGGAGCUCCUGCUGCAUGGUGGGGGUUGGAAAGUUUCGGCGGUUGGGGAUGGACUCGCGGCUUAUCAGCUUGUUGGUGGGGUAGUGGCUUACCAAGGCUUUGACGGGUAGCCGGCCUGAGAGGGUGACCGGCCACAUUGGGACUGAGAUACGGCCCAGACUCCUACGGGAGGCAGCAGUGGGGAAUAUUGCACAAUGGGCGGAAGCCUGAUGCAGCAACGCCGCGUGCGGGAUAACGGCCUUCGGGUUGUAAACCGCUUUCGCCUGUGACGAAGCGUGAGUGACGGUAAUGGGUAAAGAAGCACCGGCUAACUACGUG
RNAcentral lists this ribosomal RNA (467 nucleotides) under uncultured bacterium. Its description in RNAcentral is "partial 16S ribosomal RNA". It matches the Rfam family "Bacterial small subunit ribosomal RNA", at positions 28 to 507 of the family's 1533-position model. The record is from RNAcentral.